UACGAAGGGGACUAGCGUUGUUCGGAAUUACUGGGCGUAAAGCGCGCGUAGGCGGAUCGCUAAGUCAGGGGUGAAAUCCCAGGGCUCAACCCUGGAACUGCCUUUGAUACUGACGAUCUGGAGAUCGGGAGAGGUUGGUGGAAUUCCGAGUGUAGAGGUGAAAUUCGUAGAUAUUCGGAGGAACACCAGAAGCGAAGGCGGCUCACUGGACUGGUAUUGACGCUGAGGUGCGAAAGCGUGGGGAGCAAACAGG
This 253-nucleotide ribosomal RNA is filed under the name uncultured bacterium. RNAcentral's name for it is "partial 16S ribosomal RNA". It matches the Rfam family "Bacterial small subunit ribosomal RNA", at positions 524 to 776 of the family's 1533-position model. The record is from RNAcentral.